Non-coding RNA from Marmota flaviventris (yellow-bellied marmot), 662 nucleotides. The record is from RefSeq and is a predicted model, not a curated record. Lineage: Eukaryota; Metazoa; Chordata; Mammalia; Rodentia; Sciuridae.
UUUUUUACCUUUUUAACUCCUUUCCAUCUCUUUCCCUUUUCCAGUGUCUGUAUAUUUUUCUUCUUUGGAAAUUUAUGUCCUUUUGAUGAAGGCAGAAAAUUAUGCAUCUCCCUAGCCAUCCUGCAUGAUUCUGUGUGCCCUUGAAGAGUGUGUUCCUGUCACCUCCCUGCUCAUUUAUCGUCCACAACAAAUUGAUACGCCAGGUUGAGAGUUCACCUAUAUCUACUGCUUCCCUAAUGAAGUAGGAAAAAUGGCGGGCUUCAAGAGUCUGUUUCUUUUCUACCUGAGGAACUUUCUGCAGCUAUGCCUACCUUGUGUUCAGGAAAACUUGUGAACUGUGGGACCCGAUGCAACCCCAGCUAAGACUUGGAAAUCUUCAUCAACACAGGAAAAAAAGAACACGACACUACAGUCACCAAGAAGAGAACAGUUUUAGCUUACAUUCACAGUUUUUACUUCUACUACUGAUGCUGGUUAUUUGCCAAAGAAAAGAAUUCUUUUGGCCUUAAACCCUGCAGAAUAAUUUCCUUUAGGACAAGAUACUACCAUUCUCUGUCAGAUUUCCAGUAGGUAUAGAACCUUCCCAAGCCUAAUAUUGAAGCUGGAUAAUUGAAAUGUGGAUAGUGGUUCUCUCUGAGCCAAUAAAAGCACAUGACAAGCCA